Molecule: small nuclear RNA, 142 nt
Organism: Centropristis striata (black sea bass)
Lineage: Eukaryota; Metazoa; Chordata; Actinopteri; Perciformes; Serranidae
Product: U4 spliceosomal RNA
Exons: 1
Source: RefSeq, a predicted model, not a curated record
AUCUUUUUGCAGAGGCAAUUUCAUGGUCUAUGAAGUUCUACUGAGAUGUGAUUAUUGCUGGUUGGAAAUUUCACCCAAUACCCUGUCAAGAUGACUUUAAAUAUCAGUGAGCUGUGGCAAUUUUUGUUUGUCUGAAAGGAGA